This 467-nucleotide ribosomal RNA is filed under the name uncultured bacterium. Its description in RNAcentral is "bacterial SSU rRNA". It matches the Rfam family "Bacterial small subunit ribosomal RNA", at positions 329 to 793 of the family's 1533-position model. The record is from RNAcentral.
UGCCAGACUCCUACGGGAGGCAGCAGUGAGGAAUAUUGGUCAAUGGGCGGAAGCCUGAACCAGCCAAGUCGCGUGAGGGAUUAAGGCCCUAUGGGUCGUAAACCUCUUUUGUCAGGGAGCAAUGGCGUCCACGUGUGGGCGUAUGGAGAGUACCUGAAGAAAAAGCAUCGGCUAACUCCGUGCCAGCAGCCGCGGUAAUACGGAGGAUGCGAGCGUUAUCCGGAUUUAUUGGGUUUAAAGGGUGCGUAGGCGGAAGGUUAAGUCAGCGGUCAAAUGUCGGUGCUCAACACCGGCCUGCCGUUGAAACUGGUCUUCUUGAGUGAGCGAGAAGUAUGCGGAAUGCGUGGUGUAGCGGUGAAAUGCAUAGAUAUCACGCAGAACUCCGAUUGCGAAGGCAGCAUACCGGCGCUCAACUGACGCUGAGGCACGAAAGCGUGGGGAUCGAACAGGAUUAGAUACCCUGGUAA